GGGCCGGCAGGGAGAGGCGGCCAUGCUGCGGGAGCUGCGGCGGCGCUGGGGCUCGUACAAGUACCGCUUCGUGCCCUGGCUCGCCCUCAACCUCCGCCGCCAGCGCAGGACCCUUCGAUAUGUUCCUGACAACUGUCAAGACAAAAUUAUUGCUGAUGAAGCCGUCUUUGAAACACUACUCAAAACAUUUAAAGCUCUGUUCAUAAAUGACUUCAGUAGGCAAGCAGAUAUUCUGGCCUUACUUCCAGAAGUCAAGUGUCAAUAUCUGGAAUUACUUACUGUGGAGCAGAAGCGGUCAAAAGUAAAUUCUUGUAACCAUCAGAGUCAGCACCUAUUUAGUCCUGAGGAAGUUUUGUUUAACACGCUUGGGUUCACUGUUAGCAGAGACCGGAGUUCCCUGGUGUCUGCUGGAACUGGAGUCUUUGUUACCAGAGGCUUUGUACCAAAAGGGACGGUUGUAUCUAUGUAUCCUGGUACAGUAUACAGAAAGCAUGAGCCCAUCUUUUUCCAGUCCCUUGGCAAUCCCUUUAUUUUUAGGUGCAUUGAUGGUGUCCUUAUUGAUGGGAAUGAUAAAGGACUGUCAAGAUCAGUGUAUAGGUCUUGCAGCAGAAGAGAUCAACUUGGCCCUUUGCAAAUGAGUGAUGAGAGCUGGCUCACAGCCACCCCGCAAAACCCACUGGCAGUGGGACAGUAUGUCAACAACUGCUCACAUGAAAAAGCAGCAAAUGUGUGUUAUCAAGAGUUUGAUGUGCCAGGACAUUUUCCAGUAGAACUGAAACAGUAUCUUCCAAACAUCGUCUACAGCCAUGACAUAGAGAGGUUGGCAGCAAAUGAAAGAGCUCAUAGAUUUCUCUGAUACAAGGCAUAUUGCAUGUGUAAAGAAAAGACAAACAUGGUUGAAAAAUAACAAAUCAUGUGAAGAUGAGUUACACAAAUGUGUGCAAUUGUAUGGGAGAGUUACCUCUCUGAAUAGACUAAUUUUAAUUACAAGACUUCAUUACUUUUUCCACAUUUUCAUAAAUGACAUCAGCUCUGAAGACAAGUUUUGCAAGCAGUUGUUGCACUAUAGUGCAAUUCUUCUGAAGCCCAUAAAGCACUAGUUGUACUUUGUCUUACAGUGCUGAGGCUUUUCAGUAUAUAUCUCAAAUCUGUUUCAGCCUUGACUAAAGCCCUUCUGAGAUAAUUCAGAAUUUAGACUUCUUACUCUCUUCUCCAUGUCUUCUGAUUAGGUGACAAAUAAGCAGAUGAAUUUGCAAGAAGAAACUUAAAAUUGUAUUGAGACAAGUGAAAUACUAUGCAAUAUAAAGGCAUAGACUUAUAGUUACAGUAUAAUUAGUAAAAUUACAACAUCCUGGUUAUGACUUGAAAGUACACCUUUUUUCAGAAAUUGGAGCACUUGGAAAUCUUUCUCAGAUAAUCUUCAUUUCAAGGAUGUAUAAGAAUUUUAGAGCAGAUCAUCUGAACUUUGAAUGUAAUUCUAGAGUUAUUUAAGUACUCUGAAAUUUCACUGGAGAAAGUUACAGUUCAUAUUGGAAAAGCGGCUUUUCUGAUUAAACUUGGAGUUUGUUGAGUCAAGGUUAAAGAUGCACUUGGAAUCUGCAGAUAAUUAGGUAAUGCUAAUAAAAUAAGCAAUAGGACUGAAUUCUCAGGAAGCCUGGAUGUUGUACUUGAAGCGCAAAAGCCCAUAAACUAUGGGACUGCUUCAGGAAGGGGCAAUUUUGCUCUUGCUUGGAAUCUGUCCAAGAAAAUACCGUCUUCUGAUCAUCAUUUCUCCCAGUGUACAGCCCCAGAUGAAAGAUCCCAUCUGCUUCUAGCCACUUGAGGUGUGUAGUUCUUGUCACUCUCAGAGACAUCAAGGAAGGAGAAGAACUUUUUUCAAAUUACUACACUAUUGUCAGCUGAAUUAAUAGAUUCAAAACUGAAGAAGUCUGUGUCAAUAAAAUAUGUACAUUGUUUCAGUAUGUACUUCAUCAUCAUUUUUGUAUAAGAGGGAGCUGUAGCUAUACCAUCCAGAGAGAAAAGCUGUAGGCUUGAAUUUCUCUUAAAAUAGUCUGCAUUUGAUGCACAGAUGAAGAUUUAACCAUUUGCAUCAUUAGGUUCUCAGCUGUCUGCUGUUGUUGAUAUUUGUACAUAUUGGUGUUCACCUGUCCAUGAGGUAGAUCAUAAAAUAAAAACCUAAUUUCUGGACAUACCAUUUAAUCUA
Molecule: RNA transcript, 2203 nt
Organism: Parus major (Great Tit)
Lineage: Eukaryota; Metazoa; Chordata; Aves; Passeriformes; Paridae
Gene: SETD9
Gene name: SET domain containing 9
Exons: 6
Source: RefSeq, a predicted model, not a curated record